RNAcentral lists this ribosomal RNA (496 nucleotides) under uncultured bacterium. RNAcentral's name for it is "partial 16S ribosomal RNA". It matches the Rfam family "Bacterial small subunit ribosomal RNA", at positions 28 to 507 of the family's 1533-position model. The record is from RNAcentral.
GAUGAACGCUGGCGGCGUGCCUAAUACAUGCAAGUCGAGCGAACGGACGAGAAGCUUGCUUCUCUGAUGUUAGCGGCGGACGGGUGAGUAACACGUGGAUAACCUACCUAUAAGACUGGGAUAACUUCGGGAAACCGGCGCUAAUACCGGAUAAUAUUUUGAACCGCAUGGUUCAAAAGUGAAAGACGGUCUUGCUGUCACGUAUAGAUGGAUCCGCGCUGCAUUAGCUAGUUGGUAAGGUAACGGCUACCAAGGCAACGAUGCAUAGGCGACCUGAGAGGGUGAUCGGCCACACUGGAACGGGGACACGGUCCAGAGGCCUACGGGAGGCAGCAGUAGGGAAUCUGCCGCAAAGGGCGAGAGCCUGACGGAGCAACGGCGCGUGAGUGGUGAAGGUCUUCGGAUCGUAAAACUCUGUUAUUAGGGAAGAACAUAUGUGUAAGUAGCUGUGCACAUCUUGACGGUACCUGAUCAGAAAGCCACGGCUAACUACGUG